Molecule: ribosomal RNA, 471 nt
Filed under: uncultured bacterium
Lineage: Bacteria
Description: bacterial SSU rRNA
Rfam family: Bacterial small subunit ribosomal RNA
Source: RNAcentral
UGGGGAAUUUUGGACAAUGGGGGCAACCCUGAUCCAGCCAUGCCGCGUGAGUGAAGAAGGCCUUCGGGUUGUAAAGCUCUUUCGGCGGGGACGAAACGGUCCGUGACAACACCACGGACUAAUGACAGUACUCGCAGAAGAAGCACCGGCUAACUACGUGCCAGCAGCCGCGGUAAUACGUAGGGUGCAGGCGUUAAUCGGAAUUACUGGGCGUAAAGCGUGCGCAGGCGGCUCCUUAAGUCAGAUGUGAAAUCCCCGGGCUUAACCUGGGAACUGCGUUUGAAACUGAGGGGCUAGAGUGUGGAAGAGGGGGGUGGAAUUCCAGGUGUAGCAGUGAAAUGCGUAGAGAUCUGGAGGAACACCGAUGGCGAAGGCAGCCCCCUGGGCUAACACUGACGCUCAUGCACGAAAGCGUGGGGAGCAAACAGGAUUAGAUACCCGAGUAUCCCUGAGCGGGCUGGCAAGGCGCAU